GACGAACGCUGGCGGCGUGCUUAACACAUGCAAGUCGAACGAUGAACCACUUCGGUGGGGAUUAGUGGCGAACGGGUGAGUAACACGUGGGCAAUCUGCCCUUCACUCUGGGACAAGCCCUGGAAACGGGGUCUAAUACCGGAUACCACUCUCGCGGGCAUCUGCGAGGGUUGAAAGCUCCGGCGGUGAAGGAUGAGCCCGCGGCCUAUCAGCUUGUUGGUGAGGUAACGGCUCACCAAGGCAACGAUCGGUAUCCGGCCUGAGAGGGCGGACGGACACACUGGGACUGAGACACGGCCCAGACUCCUACGGGAGGCAGCAGUGGGGAAUUGUUCGCAAUGGGCGCAAGCCUGACGACGCAACGCCGCGUGGAGGACGAAGAUUUUCGGAUCGUAAACUCCUUUCGAUCGGGAAGAACAGCUUUCGGGAUAACACCCUGGGAGUCUGACGGUACCGGGAGAAGAAGCCCCGGCUAACUCUGU
RNAcentral lists this ribosomal RNA (482 nucleotides) under uncultured bacterium. RNAcentral's name for it is "bacterial SSU rRNA". It matches the Rfam family "Bacterial small subunit ribosomal RNA", at positions 28 to 506 of the family's 1533-position model. The record is from RNAcentral.